Numida meleagris (helmeted guineafowl) is the source of this 3228-nucleotide long non-coding RNA. RefSeq lists it as uncharacterized. The record is from RefSeq and is a predicted model, not a curated record. The transcript has 3 exons. NCBI's taxonomy places the organism in Eukaryota, Metazoa, Chordata, Aves, Galliformes, Numididae.
GGGAACGGCAUGGAGCUGUGUCAGGAGAGUCAAGGUGGAGUUGGCUGGUAUAAAACACACAAGGAUCCAGGAAACACGAAAUGUGUCAUCCCUUACCUCCAAGACAGAACCAUAUUUCUUGAACACUGGGCUGGUUGAACUGGAAAGAAUGGGCACUCAAGCAGGAGAGCGUGUUGUCACAUAAGUCUCACAUGAGACCCAGCUGGACAAAUAUUUGAAUUACAUACUCUUAGAUGCUCACCAAGUUUUCAGUCAUCUGCUAGCUGCCCUUGUGCAGCAAUAUCUGAGCCAUCUUGUGGUUGAUGAGUUUGUAGCAGAGAUUCUAGAGAAAAUGAUAUUGCCUUUAACACCUGUAGAUAGCUUUGUGUUGCCUGAAAUCCAAGCAUGCACAAUUUGGAUUGAAUCUCUGAGUUCUCCAACUUAUGUCCUUACUUUCUGCUUGCUCUGUGGAAAAGCAAUACAAGAGAAUAAAACUAGGGUUAUGUACAUUAGAAAAAAAAAGAAAAGAAAAGAAAAAAUAUAGAUAAAACAUAAGUGAUUUCUAUCUGUUUAAUUUAGAUGUAUAUUUUUCAAUAGCACAAUAUAUACAUCAUCUGUAAGCAUCUAUACAUUUUAAAUGCUGUGAGAUAGAUGUGAUUGCACAGUAUGGUAGUGGCAUAUCUCUAUUUCCAAUCAACUCUAGUAGUGAUUGACUUCUUUGAUUUCAUAAUUCGUGCCAUGAAGCAUAUGAUGGCAAACUUAGAUUAGUCUCCAGCCAUGUCUCUCCAUGCCGUCUUUCCCACCAAGUCUUUAAUAUGUAUAUAUUUGCCCUGUUUUAAACUUAUAUAGUGCUUAAUACUUAAUAAUACUUAUGUUUCUGCCUCCUGAAUUCUAAAAUAUUGAUGAGGAAUCAAGUUUUUUGUACUGGAGGCAAACACUAAAUUAUAGUCCCAUGCCAUGUCACUAUAAAAUGUAAUUUUUAAGGGAAUUAUUAUCUUUUUUAUUAUUAAUUUCAAAAACUUUGAACUCCUUGAAGUAACUGUUUCAUAUGUGUUAUAUGUGAUUUUAAGUGUACUUUUGCUAUUUAAGAAAUGAGUAAGAAAUAACAUCGUGGUCAAAUUUCCAUACAAUGCAGCAAGAUUAUAAUAGUGUAUGCAUAAACGCAAAGGGAAAAAAAAAACAACAACACAAUACUGCACCAGGAUUUGCAAGCAAGUUUUGUCAGCAAAUUUUGGAUGCAGGCAUAUCAAAGGAAAUGUUGUUUCGUUUGUAUAGAAUCAUAUUAUUUACAAGGAUGAGUGAGGUGACUUCAUAUAAAUUACAUAUUAAGAUGUAUUACUUCCAUAGUGAUUGCAAUUACAGUGAAGAAAUUUUAAAAAACUUAAAAAAAUAAGGUAAUUCUUUUGUGAAUGAGAGGGGUGUAUUGUACAGUAUUUGGUGAUUAGGAUGCUGACAAUUUCCUAAAUGGAAACAAUAUCUUGAAAUAUUGAAGUUCUAGAUAAACAAUAAUGUUUUAAUUCAAUCUGUCAUGACAAAAAGGUGUUUGGUGUGUUACGAGGACACAAUAGUAAAAAGUCCUGUGUAACUGAGAUGCUUAGCUCUGUCUAGUUCCCUCCUCAUCCCAACCAUUACAGAACAUGGCACCCUCAUGGUGUGAACUCAGAUGUUGGAGCGUGUAACAACAGGCCAAGCAUGCCUGCAGCACACCUCAUUUUGCUGGGAAAGCAGCCAGCUUUCACUGAUCUUUGCAAACCACAGUAUGUUGCUAGCCCUUGGAGCUGCUGCAGAUUGCACAGGAAAGGAGAAGUUACAGAAGAUGAAAAAAGAGCUGCAGGGUGUAGAGAGUUUAGAGAGUAAUUUUCUCAUUUGUAAUUUUAUCAGUGGAGCUGUUAUUUGUUUUCUACUGAGGCAUCCAGCUUUUGCCCAGGAGAACAAAACUAAAGCCUGUGGAGAAAGGGGGUAAUCUCUCUGGUUUGUUUUGUCUCUCAGGAAAGGUGGCAAGAAGUGGGCAAUGUCUAUAUUGCUGACAAUGAAUGUAGGCAAACUUCAUUUGCUUGUGUUUAUCCCUGAUUGCCUCACUGCCUAAAGCUACCUCUGGUUUCAAUCAUGGUCAGUUUCACAGACCAUAUCUCUCUGAGACACUCAAUGACCUGGAACCAGUCUAGCUAGAAGAUUAACUAAGAUCUGGUAUGGAGACAGUAGCUGAGAAUUGUGUCUUUCCGACAUGAGUCCUUGGAGCAUGAAAUUCAUCUGAAGGGGAAACAAAGCUUUUCAAAAGUUAGUAAGUCUCCCCUGUGUCCUCACAAAGUACAAAGCACGUUUCUUCAGUUUGCCUUGGCCACUUGGAAUUGUAUGUUAACUUAAUGUGUAUAUAUUUUCCUUUAAUAACAAUAGGCUUUAGAAGAAGAGCAACAACAACGGGGUGGUCACUGCAUGCAGUAUUUUUACAUUGCAAAGAUGAUGGCAAACAGAUCAGCCCAAUGUUUAUCACAUUCUUCCGUGAAGUAAUAAUAUUAUGCACUCAGAUAUUACGGUUAGCAAACCACUAUAAGAAUGUAAUGGAAUAGAACUAAUUACUACUAUUGACCUACGUAGAGUUAAAAGCCUAAACUACAACUCUAAUGUCUCCAACUAAAAAAAUGCCCCUAUUUUAUUCAGUGCACCGACUCUUGCUGUGUUUAUACAGUAUAAUAUUCAUUUCCUGACAUAGACUUGCUUUUACUUUUUACUAGUGACAGUCAUACAGAAGCAGAAAGCUCUAAAAUAGGGAUUUUCUUUUUAACUCAUCAAUCUACAGUAUUAAAUUCCUGUGACAGGAUCACUCUUCAGUUUAAGUUUACAAAUUAUGUUCUGGAUACAUACAUCCAUGUAGCCCCAUUGAAGGCAUUAGAAACCCAAAGAACAAUUAAUGAAACAGAAGAAAGCCGAUAUUGCAAUUUAAGACAGCAUUUGCCCUCCGGAAUAUUUACUAUCAGGGAAGAGGUAUGAAGAAAAGAAAAAAGAACUUCUGCUUCACUCUCAUAUUCCAGAUUUAGUUUGCAGUAGAAUAUUGUGUUGUUGUUGUUGCUAAAGAGCAUAAAUUAUAUAUGUAAAAAAUCAGAGUAAUAGAAUCUCCCACUGACAAUGACAUAAAAGAUGCUUUGUGUUCUGUCACGGUUUCCUGUGUAUGUUUGUUUAUAUUUUCUUAAUAUUUAAGCAGUAAAAUAAACUACUAAAAUUAAAUUGUAAUGUAUUUCAAUCACACAUUCU